GCUUCGGGUUGUAAAGCUCUUUCGGCAGGAACGAAAUGGUCGUGCUAAUACCACGGACUGAUGACGGUACCUGAAGAAGAAGCACCGGCUAACUACGUGCCAGCAGCCGCGGUAAUACGUAGGGUGCAGGCGUUAAUCGGAAUUACUGGGCGUAAAGCGUGCGCAGGCGGUUUCUUAAGUCAGACGUGAAAGCCCCGGGCUUAACCUGGGAACUGCGUUUGAAACUGGGAGACUUGAGUGUGGCAGAGGGGGGUGGAAUUCCACGUGUAGCAGUGAAGUGCGUAGAUAUGUGGAGGAACACCGAUGGCGAAGGCAGCCCCCUGGGCUAACACUGACGCUCAUGCACGAAAGCGUGGGGAGCAAACUGGAUUAGAUACCCUGGUAGUCCACGCCCUAAACUAUGUCAACUGGUUGUCGGGGGAUUAACUCCCUUGGUAACGAAGCUAACGCGUGAAGUUGACCGCCUGGGGAGUACGGCCGCAAGGUUAAAACUCAAAGGAAUUGACGGGGACCCGCACAAGCGGUGGAUUAUGUGGAUUAAUUCGAUGCAACGCGAAAAACCUUACUAACCUUGACAUGUU
RNAcentral lists this ribosomal RNA (581 nucleotides) under uncultured bacterium. RNAcentral's name for it is "bacterial SSU rRNA". It matches the Rfam family "Bacterial small subunit ribosomal RNA", at positions 415 to 990 of the family's 1533-position model. The record is from RNAcentral.